ACGGCGAGUGAAGCGGGAAGAGCUCAAGAUAAGAAUUGUCCUACGUGGUUAAUUUCACGGACAAGUUGUGAUCUUGCGAUUGCGUACCAGGUUGGAGAAAGGUGUAUGAAAGUCUGCUGGAACGCAGCGCCGUGGAAGGUUAUAGCCCUGUUCAUUGUACGCCAAAUUAAUAAUCCGCCAUACGGUCACAAUUCAUCGAGUCGCGUUGCUUGGGAGUGCAGCGCAAAUGGGGAGGUACAGAUCUUCUAAAGCUAAAUAUUGGCGAGAGACCGAUAGCGAACAAGUACCGUGAGGGAAAGAUGAAAUAGCACCUGGAAACGGGAGUGAAAUCAGAGCUUGAAAUUGUUAAAAGGCAAAAGCUGGGGAGACUUUCUAAUUCAUUUAUAUGAAUGUUGCUUUGUGUUGGUAUGUCCUUUCAUCGGGACUUAAUCAUUACACGUUAUAAAGCCGUCAACGCGGUUUACCCUUUUUUAGUGAUAUCGAUAGUUUUCCGAGGUAGUUUCGCAUCUUUAUGACAAAUAAAUGUAUGCACGAUGAGCUCAUAUAAGGAUUAUUAUCAGAACAGGUUUCACGGGGUGAAUUGUCCGGAUAAAACCGGAUAGUAUAAUACUACUGUUAUGGGGUACUGUUGUUGCCUUUAUGUGUAAGGGGGUUUUAUUCCCCGUACAUGAUUGGUUUCAGCAUUAU
RNAcentral lists this ribosomal RNA (687 nucleotides) under uncultured fungus. RNAcentral describes it as "eukaryotic LSU rRNA". It matches the Rfam family "Eukaryotic large subunit ribosomal RNA", at positions 86 to 627 of the family's 3401-position model. The record is from RNAcentral. Lineage: Eukaryota; Fungi.